This 427-nucleotide ribosomal RNA is filed under the name uncultured bacterium. RNAcentral's name for it is "bacterial SSU rRNA". It matches the Rfam family "Bacterial small subunit ribosomal RNA", at positions 355 to 774 of the family's 1533-position model. The record is from RNAcentral.
UAGGGAAUAUUGGACAAUGGGGGCAACCCUGAUCCAGCCAUGCCGCGUGAGUGAAGAAGGCCCUCGGGUUGUAAAGCUCUUUUGUCCGGAAAGAAAAGCAUUCGGUGAAUACCCGGAUGUUCUGACGGUACCGGAAGAAUAAGCACCGGCUAACUUCGUGCCAGCAGCCGCGGUAAUACGAAGGGUGCAAGCGUUACUCGGAAUUACUGGGCGUAAAGCGUGCGUAGGUGGUUGUUUAAGUCUGAUGUGAAAGCCCUGGGCUCAACCUGGGAAUGGCAUUGGAAACUGGGCAGCUAGAGUGCGGUAGAGNGUAGUAGAAUUCCCGGUGUAGCAGUGAAAUGCGUAGAGAUCGGGAGGAACAUCUGUGGCGAAGGCGACUGCCUGGACCAGCACUGACACUGAGGCACGAAAGCGUGGGGAGCAAACA